This 45-nucleotide non-coding RNA is filed under the name Schistosoma mansoni. The record is from RNAcentral. Lineage: Eukaryota; Metazoa; Platyhelminthes; Trematoda; Strigeidida; Schistosomatidae.
AUCCAACUGACGAGUCCCAAAUAGGACCAAAGGUGCAUCCUGUAU